This is a long non-coding RNA of Manihot esculenta (cassava), 520 nucleotides long. RefSeq lists it as uncharacterized. NCBI's taxonomy places the organism in Eukaryota, Viridiplantae, Streptophyta, Magnoliopsida, Malpighiales, Euphorbiaceae. The record is from RefSeq and is a predicted model, not a curated record. The transcript has 2 exons.
AAAAUUAAAAAAAAAAAGCUGGUGGGGUCAGUUCAGUAAUCUCUUAGGCCCAAUAUUCUUCUUGGGAUUGGCUGUAAAAAGACUCUCAAUCUUCCUAUAAAUACCCCACCAUCGCCUUUCUCCACCUAUCUCCAUGGCCCUUCUGCAAAUCCCAUCUCUUCUUCUCUUUCUUCUAGGGUUUCAAAAUGAUGGGCUUCUUUUUGCAUGUUGAUUAUGCAUAUAUGAAUGGCCCUCUUCGUAUUCUUCCACAGCUUUCUUGAACUGCAUCUCUACAACGAAGCUUGUGGUUAUUGCAUGCCACGGCUCGCCAAUUAAGCGGCUUCUUGUUUUCUUGUUUUGUUGCGGUUCAAUAAAGCUGUGGGAAGAUACUGACAGGGUCAAGGAUGCUGCUGCUCUUUCUCCGAUCCCUGUGUUGUUGCCUUUGGCAGACAAGAUUUAUGGUGACCCAUGUGGUGGAGGUUCCAACUUCUAAAUAAGUUUGUAACUAUAUACAUUUAUAUAUUUGAAAUUAUUUGUUAUA